CACACACGGUGCCUGGAUUGCCUGCUACAGGGCCCAAGAGGUCCUGGGGAGAAAUACUUGUCCAGCUGUAACCUCAUGCAGGAGACAGUCUUUUUUGUUCAGAACCAGGAGAAUCUUCACAUGUACACUAUUUACCAAAAGCUGUA
Long non-coding RNA from Strigops habroptila (Kakapo), 146 nucleotides. RefSeq lists it as uncharacterized. The transcript has 3 exons. Lineage: Eukaryota; Metazoa; Chordata; Aves; Psittaciformes; Psittacidae. The record is from RefSeq and is a predicted model, not a curated record.